Long non-coding RNA from Schistocerca gregaria, 1866 nucleotides. RefSeq lists it as uncharacterized. NCBI's taxonomy places the organism in Eukaryota, Metazoa, Arthropoda, Insecta, Orthoptera, Acrididae. The transcript is spliced from 2 exons. The record is from RefSeq and is a predicted model, not a curated record.
GAGGAGUUGUACGCUGUGCCCGCAGCGAGGAGGCAGCGAUGUGGGGAAAGAACGGGCAGCGGAGAUACGAGGGAGUCAGCUGCCGUGGCAACCAUCUUGCAGACACUUUGUGAGACUGGAGCACAUCAUGCGCAGUGUGGUGUGCUGACCCACGACUAAUCUGUAAACAUGCUGCAAUGUCAUUCAGUGUCACUCGGCGGUUAUCCUUCACCAUGGCUUCAACUGCUGCAAUGUUCUGUGGAGUCACAACUCGUUUGGCCUGACCUGGACGAGUAGCGUCUUCCACUGAAGUCACACCAUUUGUGAACUUCCUACUGCUGUGACAAACAUGCAUCACUGUACUGAACCUUCAUUCGUCGAUGAAUUUCAAUAGGUUUCACACCUUCACUAAGUAAAAACCGAAUAACAGAACCCUGUUCUUCCGUGGUGCAAGUCGCAAGUGGGUCGGCCAUCUUCAUACUGAUAUUGCGACGGUAUGUGUGCAUCUGCACUAUGCUGCCACCUCCAGGCCAUUCUGCACGCUACCUGUAGUACGCUUACCAACCUACAGAAUAAUGGCGCGAAAUUUCGAUUAGUUAUUACAAAUUUAAGGUUUUCAUUUGACUCACCCUCUUACAUCUGGUAUUAAGGAUAACAAAUGCGAGCCACAGAAGCCUAAAUUUUCAGUUCAUGUCGGCGAGUGACGCUUAAAGAAAAAAAGUAAUGCCUCCGACUUUUUAAUGUGAAACUUCGUACAGAUUUUUGAAUGAAAUAAACAUUAUCAACAUUUAGAUCUUUAUUGUUCUAGUAUUUGCAGCCCUCUGCCGGUAGAGGGUUCCGAAUUGUCGCGUGUAACCUGACGGCGUGUAACUUAACUACGUACUUGCGUGAGAAACAGGGUGCUGUAAUCAAGUUCUGAAUUCGAAGAGUUCGUACUCUCUCUUUCAGUAUGACACACGAGAUCUGCAACAAUACAACCCCUGGGAUAACAGUCGUCGUUCGUCCCCCAUACAGUCCCGAAUUGUCCUCAUCCGAUUUUCAUCUGUUUGCUAAACUUAAAGAAUACUUUUGAGGACUUUAUAGUGCUGAAGAGCUGCAAGCACAUGUGAGGUUGAGGCAACGUCAGCAAAGUUCUACAAGGACGGUGUCAACAAACUGGUUACUCGUUGGGAGAAAUGAGUUCGUCGUCAGAGUAAAUAUCUUGAGAAAUAGAUAUGUAGACAUGAAGAAUACCGAAGUAGGAUCAAUAAUUUUCGUUAUAUUUAAAGAGCUUUAAGAGUUUUUACAUAAAAAAUUCGGAGGCAUUACUUUUCAGCAUGCCCUCAUACAUGAUGCUGUGUGUCUUACUUCUUUUCGUUCAUCUUAGUAAAUGUUUUGGGAAAGCCUGCAACUGUGUCAUCCAUGAUUUAAAUGAUGAAAACUGCACCAGUUGCUUAUUUUUUUCAAGUACAUAUGUGUGCUUUUCUGCCUCUCUUCCAAACAUCAGCAAACAUAUUCAUGUAAACAAAUGCACAUAUGUACUUCAAAAUGAGAAUAAAUUCUCGAAACGUGUUCUGCUGAGCAGCAAAAAAUAAGUAACUAGUGCAGUUUUCAUUCUUUAAAUCAUGUCUUGAUUCUCUUUAUGAUAGGUUGGCAUGAGUUACAUACGUUGCUAGUGUUGAACUUUAUUUGCACUACAUGCACGAACAGGAUGCAAUAUAAAAAAAGUUGUCUUAUACAUAGCUGGAGGUGCUGUAAACGUAGCAUAUGGGUGUAAAACACAUUAGUAAAUACUUAAUAUACUUCUACCACAUAUGUUCUACAGGUAAUACUGCUUAAUGCAUCACAAAUCUUCAAGCUAAAAAAAAAUGUAUGGGAACUACCUAAUAAAGACUCGCUUUCCAUGAU